Molecule: ribosomal RNA, 425 nt
Filed under: uncultured bacterium
Lineage: Bacteria
Description: partial 16S ribosomal RNA
Rfam family: Bacterial small subunit ribosomal RNA
Source: RNAcentral
GUGGGGAAUCUUGCGCAAUGGGCGAAAGCCUGACGCAGCCAUGCGGCGUGAAUGAUGAAGGUCUUAGGAUUGUAAAAUUCUUUCACCGGGGACGAUAAUGACGGUACCCGGAGAAGAAGCUCCGGCUAACUUCGUGCCAGCAGCCGCGGUAAUACGAAGGGGGCUAGCGUUGCUCGGAAUUACUGGGCGUAAAGGGCGCGUAGGCGGACAGCUUAGUCAGAGGUGAAAGCCCAGGGCUCAACCUUGGAAUUGCCUUUGAUACUGGCUGUCUUGAGUUUGGGAGAGGUGAGUGGAACUCCGAGUGUAGAGGUGAAAUUCGUAGAUAUUCGGAGGAACACCAGUGGCGAAGGCGGCUCACUGGACCGUUGUUGACGCUGAGGUGCGAAAGCGUGGGGAGCAAACAGGAUUAGAUACCCGUGUAGUCC